UUAAUUUUUACCUCAUCUCAUUCCUAAUUUAAGAGAGAGAAAGAGAGAGAAAUUCAAAAAAGAAAAAGAAAAAUAAUUUUUUUUAAAAAAAAAGUUUUUAAUUUACAGGUUUUCCGUGAUUAUAGCCAUAAUACGAUAAGUACCAUCUAACAAACUUCUUCAACCCGGUUUGCAAAUCCGUGGUGGGUUUGUACCCGAGUUCCCUCCGAGCCGAACUAAUAUUCGCAUGAGUAAACGGAACG
This 242-nucleotide unclassified non-coding RNA is filed under the name Hevea brasiliensis (rubber tree). The record is from RNAcentral. Lineage: Eukaryota; Viridiplantae; Streptophyta; Magnoliopsida; Malpighiales; Euphorbiaceae.